RNAcentral lists this ribosomal RNA (407 nucleotides) under uncultured bacterium. RNAcentral describes it as "bacterial SSU rRNA". It matches the Rfam family "Bacterial small subunit ribosomal RNA", at positions 355 to 774 of the family's 1533-position model. The record is from RNAcentral.
UGGGGAAUAUUGCACAAUGGGCGCAAGCCUGAUGCAGCAACGCCGCGUGAGGGACGACGGCCUUCGGGUUGUAAACCUCUUUUGGCAGGGAAGAAGCGAAAGUGACGGUACCUGCAGAAAAAGCACCGGCUAACUACGUGCCAGCAGCCGCGGUGAUACGUAGGGUGCAAGCGUUGUCCGGAAUUAUUGGGCGUAAAGAGCUCGUAGGCGGUUUGUCGCGUCUGCUGUGAAAACCCGAGGCUCAACCUCGGGCCUGCAGUGAGUACGGGCAAACUAGAGUGCGGUAGGGGAGAUUGGAAUUCCUGGUGUAGCGGUGGAAUGCGCAGAUAUCAGGAGGAACACCGAUGGCGAAGGCAGAUCUCUGGGCCGUAACUGACGCUGAGGAGCGAAAGCAUGGGGAGCGAACA